This 427-nucleotide ribosomal RNA is filed under the name uncultured bacterium. RNAcentral describes it as "partial 16S ribosomal RNA". It matches the Rfam family "Bacterial small subunit ribosomal RNA", at positions 355 to 774 of the family's 1533-position model. The record is from RNAcentral.
UGGGGAAUAUUGCACAAUGGGCGCAAGCCUGAUGCAGCCAUGCCGCGUGUAUGAAGAAGGCCUUCGGGUUGUAAAGUACUUUCAGCGAGGAGGAAGGCGUUGUGGUUAAUAACCGCAGCGAUUGACGUUACUCGCAGAAGAAGCACCGGCUAACUCCGUGCCAGCAGCCGCGGUAAUACGGAGGGUGCAAGCGUUAAUCGGAAUUACUGGGUGUAAAGCGCACGCAGGCGGUCUGUCAAGUCGGAUGUGAAAUCCCCGGGCUCAACCUGGGAACUGCAUCCGAAACUGGCAGGCUAGAGUCUUGUAGAGGGGGGUAGAAUUCCAGGUGUAGCGGUGAAAUGCGUAGAGAUCUGGAGGAAUACCGGUGGCGAAGGCGGCCCCCUGGACAAAGACUGACGCUCAGGUGCGAAGGCGUGGGGAGCAAACA